Molecule: ribosomal RNA, 468 nt
Filed under: uncultured bacterium
Lineage: Bacteria
Description: partial 16S ribosomal RNA
Rfam family: Bacterial small subunit ribosomal RNA
Source: RNAcentral
GACGAACGCUGGCGGCGUGCUUAACACAUGCAAGUCGAACGGACAGGCCCUGCUUUUGUGGGGUGCUCGAGCGGCGAACGGGUGAGUAACACGUGAGUAACCUGUCCUUGACUUUGGGAUAACUUCAGGAAACUGGGGCUAAUACCGGAUAGGAGCUCCUGCUGCAUGGUGGGGGUUGGAAAGUUUCGGCGGUUGGGGAUGGACUAGCGGCUUAUCAGCUUGUUGGUGGGGUAGUGGCUUACCAAGGUUUUGACGGCUAGCCGGCCUGAGAGGGUGACCGGCCACAUUGGGACUGAGAUACGGCCCAGACUCCUACGGGAGGCAGCAGUGGAGAGUAUUGCACAAUGGGCGGAAGCCUGAUGCAGCAACGCCGCGUGCGGGAUGACGUCCUUCGAGUUGUAAACCGCUUUCGCCUGUGACGAAGCGUGAGUGACGGUAAUGGGUAAAGAAGCACCGGCUAACUACGUG